GGAGCAUCUUGGCUGCAGUUUCAGCAAUCACAACGUUUGAAUCCAUCUCUCAUAAUCUGGAUGAGGAUUCAUGGUACCACGGAUAUUUUUUAGACAGGAGCUCAGGUGGAUCGUCUAAUAGCUGAAAUGGCUCCAUAAAUAAACUUCAACUUGAAGGCUCCGUUGGAGUACAUUGCCCAAGUCAGAAUUUUCAAAUUUGUUGUUACAGGAUCUCAAAAUUAUAGUGUGAAGUACAAAAGUAACUUGUAUUUAGAUGCAAAAAAGAAAAUCAACUUAUCUUCCGAAGGAGCCCAAGUUUUGAG
RNAcentral lists this long non-coding RNA (302 nucleotides) under Mus spicilegus (steppe mouse). Its description in RNAcentral is "lncRNA (ENSMSIG00000028325.1)". Lineage: Eukaryota; Metazoa; Chordata; Mammalia; Rodentia; Muridae. The record is from RNAcentral.